GAUUUCUGCUCUGAUCUUUAUGAUUUCUUUCCUUCUACUAACUUUAGGUCUUGUCUGUUCUUCUCUCUCGAGCUGCUUUAGAUGUAAAGUUAGCUUGUUUAUUUGAGCUUUUUCUUGUUUCCUGAGGUGGGCUUGUAUUGCUAUAAACUUUCCUCUUAGAACGGCUUUUGCUGCAUCCCAUAGGUUUUGGAGUGUCGUAUCUUCGUUGUCAUUUGCUGCUAGGUAUUUUUUAAUUUCCUCUUUGAUUUCUUCAGUGAUCCAUUGGUUGUUUAGUAGCAUGUUGUUGAGUCUCCACGUGUUUGUGUUUUUUGCAGUUUUUUUCUUGUUGUUGAUUUCCAGUCGUAUAGCGUUGUGGUCGGAAAAGAUGCUUGAUAUGAUUUCAAUUUUCUUAAAGUUACUGAGGUUGGAUUUGUAGCCCAGGAUAUGAUCAAUCUUAGAGAAUGUUCCAUGUGCACUUGAGAAGAAUGUGUAUUCUGUUGCUUUUGGAUGAAAUGUCCUAUAAAUAUCUAUUAAGUCCAUCUGGUUUAAUGCUUCAUUCAGGGCCUGUGUUUCCUUAUUGAUUUUCUGUCUGGUUGAUCUGUCCAUUGCUGUAAGUGGGGUGUUAAAGUCCCCCACUAUGAUUGUGUUAUUGUCGAUUUCUCCUUUUAAGGUUGUUAGCAGUUGCCUUAUAUAUUGUGGUGAACCUGUGUUGGGUGCGUAGAUAUUUAAAAUUGUUAUAUCAUCUUCUUGGAUUGAUCCUUUGAUCAUUAUGUAAUGUCCUUCUUUGUCCCUUAAAAUAUUCUUCAUUUUAAAGUCUAUUUUGUCUGAUAUGAGUAUUGCUACUCCAGCUUUCUUUUGAUCCCCGUUUGCAUGAAAUAUUUUCUUCCAUCCUCUCACUUUCAAUUUGUAUGUGUCCCUAGAAGUGAAGUGGGUCUCUUGAAGACAGCAUAUAUAUGGGUCUUGUUUUUGUAUCCAUUCAGCCAGUGUAUGUCUUUUGGUUGGGGUGUUUAGUCCAUUCACAUUUAAGGUAAUUACUGAUAUGUAUGUUCUUAUUGCCAUUUUAUUAAUUACUUUGGAUUUGUUUUUGCUGCUCUUUUUCCUUUCCUUCUUCUCUUGUUCUUUCUUGCCUAUAGAAGUUCCUUUAGUAUUUUUUGUAAGGCUGGUUUAGUGUUGCUGAAUUCUCUCAGCUUUUGCUUAUCUGUGAAGGUUUUGAUUUCUCCUUCAAAUCUGAACAAGAGCCUUGCUGGGGAGAGUAAUCUUGGUUGGAGGUUCUUUCCUUUCAUCACUUUGAGUAUCUCAUGCCACUCCCUUCUGGACUGCAGAGUUUCUGUUGGAAAAUCUGUGGAUAGCCUUAUUGGGGUUCCCUUGUAUGUUAUUUGUUUCUUUUCCCUAGCUGCUUUCAAGAUUUUCUCUUUGUCUUUAGUUUUGGUCAGUUUGAUUAGUAUGUGUCUCAGGGUGUUCCUUCUUGGGUUUAUUUUAUAUGGUACUCGUUGUGCUUCCUGGAUUUGAGGGAGUGGUUCCUUCCCCAUGUUAGGGAAGUUUUUAGCUAUUAUCUCUUGGAAUAUUUUUUCUGUUUCCUUCUCUCUCUCUUCUCCUUCUGGCACCCCUAUAAUACGGACGUUGGUACGUUUCACUUGUCCCAGAGUUCUCUGAGACUCUCUUCAUUUAUUUUCAAUCUUUUUUCUCUUUUCUGUUCUGCAUCCGUAAUUUCCACUAAUCUGUCCUCCACCUCGCUUAUUCAUUCUUCUGCCUCCUGUAUUCUGCUGUUAGCUGCUUCUAGUGAGUUUUUUAUUUUGUUUAUUUUAUUUUGCAUCUCUUCUUGUUUAAGUUUUAUAUCUUGUAUCUCUUUGCUCAGUGUUUCCUGUAAGUCAUCCAUCUUUUCCUCCAGUUUAUUUCCAAUGUCUUGCGUCAUCUUCAGCAUCAACAGUCUAAUGUCUUUUUCCUGGAGGCUGAGAAUCUCCUCAUGGCUUAGCUGUUUUUCUGGGGUUUUUCCUUUCUCCCUCAUCUGAGUUAUAGUUUUCUGUCUUUUCAUUUUUAUAGAUUUUUGGUGUGGUGAGCUUUUUACAGAUAAUAGAGUUGAGCCUCUCUUACUUCUGGUGUCUGCCCCCCUUGUGGCUGAAGUUGGCAUGGGGGCUUGGUGUAGUCUUCCUAAUGGGAGGGGCUGAUGCCUGCCCCUGGUAGGAGGAGCCGAUUCUACUCCCUCUGGUGGGUGGGACUUAGUCUCUGGAUGGGAUUAGAGGCAGCUGUGUGCCUGAGGGGUCUUUAGGGAGCCUGUUUACUGAGGGGUGGGGCUUUGAUCCCACCUGGGUUGUUUUUUGCCCUGGGGCUUCUCAGCAGCUGGCUGACAGGUGGGGCCAGAUUUUCCCAAAAUGGCCACCUCCAGAGAAAGGCACAGCUGCUGAAUAUUCCUGAGAGCUUUGCUUUCAAUGUCCUUCCCUCACAACAAGCCACGUUCACCCCUGUUUUCCCAGGAUGUCCUCCAAGAACUGCAGUCAGGUUUGUCCCAGGUUCCUAUGGAGACUUUGCUUUGCCCUGGGACUCAGUGCACAUGAAAGUCUGUGUGUGCCUUUUAAGAAUGGGGUCUCCAUUUCCCCCAGUCCCACGGAGCUCCUGUGCACAAGCCCCACUGGCCUUCAAUGCCAGAUGCUUCGGGGCUCUUUCUGCCAGUUCCAGAUCCCCACACGUGAGUUUGAUGUGUGGCUCAGAUGUCUCACUCCUGCAGGUGAGUCUCUGUGAAUCUGUUAGUUUUCAGUCUGUGGAGCUUCCCACCCGGGAGGUAUGGGGUGGUUUAUAUAAUGAAAUCACCCCUCCUAUCUCUUGAUAUGGCCUCCUCUU
Molecule: long non-coding RNA, 2814 nt
Filed under: Sus scrofa (pig)
Lineage: Eukaryota; Metazoa; Chordata; Mammalia; Artiodactyla; Suidae
Description: lncRNA (ENSSSCG00060010451.1)
Source: RNAcentral